GAUGAACGCUGGCGGCGUGCCUAAUACAUGCAAGUCGAGCGAACAGACGAGGAGCUUGCUCCUCUGACGUUAGCGGCGGACGGGUGAGUAACACGUGGAUAACCUACCUAUAAGACUGGGAUAACUUCGGGAAACCGGAGCUAAUACCGGAUAAUAUAUUGAACCGCAUGGUUCAAUAGUGAAAGACGGUUUUGCUGUCACUUAUAGAUGUAUCCGCUCCGCAUUAGCUAGUUGGUAUGGUAACGGCUUACCAAGGCAACGAUGCGUAGCCGACCUGAGAGGGGGAUGGGCCACACUGGAACUGAAACACGGUCCAGACUCCUACGGAAGGCAGAAGUAGGGAAUCUACCGAAAUGGGCGGAAGCUUGACGGAGCAACGCCGCGUGAGUGAUGAGGGGCUUCGGAUCGUAAAACUCUGUUAUUAGGGAAGAACAAAUGUGUAAGUAACUAUGCACGUCUUGACGGUACCUAAUCAGAAAGCCACGGCUAACUACGUG
Molecule: ribosomal RNA, 497 nt
Filed under: uncultured bacterium
Lineage: Bacteria
Description: partial 16S ribosomal RNA
Rfam family: Bacterial small subunit ribosomal RNA
Source: RNAcentral